UGUACUUUACUCUCAAGCUUUCAAUCGAGCUUAUCAUCUCCUUGCUAACCGAUGGACGCUGCGAUUAUAAAUCUCCAAGCUCCCAGCAAUGAACAACACAACCUCAACGAAAUAAUAUUGUUUUCGUAUGGCUCAUUGAGAGGCUUCCCGACAAUGUCAGGUGGUUCUAAGACGACGGAUCUGUUCUUAUAUGUUUGAGAUCCUCUUAACUUGCUCAAAAAUUGCUUCCCCUAGAGCUUUGGUUUCUAUGACGAAUGUUUGAGGAAGUACGGGAAUGCAAAUGUCUGGGAGUAUUUCACUGAAGUUUUUGAUUAUCUUCCUCUUAUUGUCCUCAUGGAGAGUCAGGUAUGAGCUCUUCUUCAAGCUGGUAUUUUAGACGUAAUUCUUAAUAGCACCAUUUGACCAUCAUUUUUUUUUUAUCAUUUACAUGUUUUCUGUUUGCAUGGAUUACAUUUUUCACAUAUUCUUGUGGUGAUGGGAAGACAGAGAGCAAAAAGAUGCUCAUUCAGUUGCCUACAUUGGGAUAAUUGUCAAGAGCGAAGGACGAACGUACAAACCAUGGAGCAACAAGUAUGAGUAAUUGAUAGGUUUCAAAAAAAAAAGAUAGGUUUCAGUUCGCAGGAAGAACAGAGCAACGAGGAUGAUGGAGGCUUGGGGGAGAAGAAACAUACGAGACAAGGUUGGUCAACGUGGAUAGAAAAGACUCUGAGUGGAAAAGUCUUUGCUAAUUCUUAACUGCCAUAUAAAUAAGACGCCUAGAUUCUCAUUUUUGUAAACGUUUCGGAGUGCGAUUUGAAUAAGAUCUUUAGCUUCUUAAUACUUA
This is a long non-coding RNA of Brassica rapa (field mustard), 823 nucleotides long. RefSeq lists it as uncharacterized. The record is from RefSeq and is a predicted model, not a curated record. NCBI's taxonomy places the organism in Eukaryota, Viridiplantae, Streptophyta, Magnoliopsida, Brassicales, Brassicaceae.